UCAUUUGAAAACACAGCUGUGGAUCUUCAGAUCUAGGAUUGUAGUUCAACACACUAGAAGUGCAACUACAGGAUUUAUUCUAGAACUCAAUCUUUGAGUUUUGUAUUUGAAGAACCAAAGUUAAAGUUCUCCAUUUUCCCCUUAUGUUUUCCUUUUCUAUUUCCCAUUUCUACAAAGGGAUGAGCCAAAAACCAAUGAACUCAAUGAAAGACAUCCAUUGAUUCCAGUGGGCUUUGGGUCAGGCCCUGUAUUACUUUCCAGUCUUUACCAGGUCAUCAGCAUAAAAACUGCAGAAGAUAGCUCUGAAAAUCCAGCUGGUUAAAUGGAAUGGAGAGGUGUGCAAUUGGCUGGCUGCUGAGCCCGAUUUGUAGGGAAAAUCAAACAUGCCCUCAAAAAUCUUCAGCAUCUAAGGAAGACAGACAAUCUUUGUUGGGCAUUCUCUAGUAAAAAGAAUGAGGAAGAACAUUCUGGGAGGGAGAACAGACAGACAACAGGAUGUCUUCUGGUGCCAUGAGAUGCCACUCUGAUAGGCUUCUGAAGUUGGCAAAGAUCCCCUGGUGCUGGUGCACAUUGGCACUAAUGAUACUGUCAUGGAAUAUCUCACCCAAUAUAUGGAAUUCAGAAGGGUGCUGAAGGAGAAGAAUGUCCAAGUAAUCAUCUCUGAGAUCCUUCCUGUUCUUGCAAGUGAAGGAAGAAAGAAGGCAGAAGAUUCUGAAAAUGAAUCCCUAGCUAGACUUCGUACUUACAUCUGCAUCAACGGGAUGAGAGAGGCUGGCCUGAAACUGACAAAAGCAGCUGAGGGGCAAUCAAAGUUCAGGCUGAAGCUCCUGCCUUGUUGUUGGACACGUGCACGUGCACAUGCACAUGCACAUGGACGAGAACAAAAGAAAACACAAGGUAACAGGUAUUAGCUUCAAUGGGAGUCACUCAUCAAGGGGAGAAGAGACCCAUGGAGGCCUAGAUGUUGACCACAUGUUGCAAAAGUCCAUUUUCUGUUUGAAGGCCCCCUAAGCAGAGCAGGUCACUUGAGAUUAUACCGUGCUGAUGGGCUAUGUAAGGAAGGAUAUUUUUGCAGUAUCAAUUCAGUUUCUAAAUUUUGUAGCCUUUAACAUUAUUUAAUGAAAUAUCCACUGGGAUAGUAAUGGCUUCAAGGAUUUUCCUGUAGUAAUCUGUAAUUAGGAAACUGUUUUGGACCCCUGGGUUCUCUCUGCCUCUGCCAUUGUCUAGCUGUGUGACCUUUGGCAAGUCACUUAGCCUCCUAACACCUAUAUUUUACCCAUUUGGAAAUUGGGGUUACCUUCAUCAGAAGUGGUUUGAGGUCUAACUAGUGUUUGUAAAGUGCUUUUGAGGAGGUCAGGAAAGAGGAAAUCUACACUAUGGUAGAUUCCUUUUU
This is a long non-coding RNA of Dermochelys coriacea (leatherback sea turtle), 1393 nucleotides long. RefSeq lists it as uncharacterized. The record is from RefSeq and is a predicted model, not a curated record. Lineage: Eukaryota; Metazoa; Chordata; Testudines; Dermochelyidae. The transcript is spliced from 2 exons.